RNAcentral lists this ribosomal RNA (253 nucleotides) under uncultured bacterium. RNAcentral's name for it is "partial 16S ribosomal RNA". It matches the Rfam family "Bacterial small subunit ribosomal RNA", at positions 524 to 776 of the family's 1533-position model. The record is from RNAcentral.
UACGUAGGGUGCAAGCGUUAAUCGGAAUUACUGGGCGUAAAGCGUGCGCAGGCGGUGCUGUAAGACCGAUGUGAAAUCCCCGGGCUUAACCUGGGAACUGCAUUGGUGACUGCAGCGCUGGAGUAUGGCAGAGGGGGGUAGAAUUCCACGUGUAGCAGUGAAAUGCGUAGAGAUGUGGAGGAAUACCAAUGGCGAAGGCAGCCCCCUGGGUCAAUACUGACGCUCAUGCACGAAAGCGUGGGGAGCAAACAGG